GGUGUAGCUCAGUUGGUAGAGCAUCGGUCUCCAAAACCGAGUGUCGGGAGUUCGAGUCUCUCCACC
This 66-nucleotide transfer RNA is filed under the name Culturomica massiliensis. It matches the Rfam family "tRNA". From Rfam's summary of the family: Transfer RNA (tRNA) molecules are approximately 80 nucleotides in length. Their secondary structure includes four short double-helical elements and three loops (D, anti-codon, and T loops). Lineage: Bacteria; Pseudomonadati; Bacteroidota; Bacteroidia; Bacteroidales; Odoribacteraceae. The record is from RNAcentral.